GAUGUUAUUCUACAAGAGAAAAAUCGAAAGGGUUCAUUACCUAAUCCCAUUUCGGACAAAAUUCGAAUAUGAGGAUCAUUUAAGUGCAGAUGCCAUCUAUAUGUAUAUAGGCUGUGCUUGGUCGCAGUUACUCUGUCUUUUUCCCUCUUUAUAAAUCUUUGUUUCAUCCCCAUUAUACUAUCACAAAAUAACCAUUUGGGAUAGGGUGGCCUAAAGGCCAAGGCCAACGGACUAGUUGGCAAAACAGGAAACCUCGUUUUAAAAUGAAGUGCAAAAAGAUAUUUACUAGAGGUAAAGGGUGGAAAAGACAUCGAAG
RNAcentral lists this long non-coding RNA (316 nucleotides) under Medicago truncatula (barrel medic). RNAcentral describes it as "long non-coding RNA (MTRU_LNC002619)". Lineage: Eukaryota; Viridiplantae; Streptophyta; Magnoliopsida; Fabales; Fabaceae. The record is from RNAcentral.